This is a non-coding RNA of Rattus norvegicus (Norway rat), 3632 nucleotides long. Lineage: Eukaryota; Metazoa; Chordata; Mammalia; Rodentia; Muridae. The record is from RefSeq and is a predicted model, not a curated record.
UGGGAAAGAAGUGACCUUAUGGUGACAUUAGAGAACUAAAAAAUGACAAAAGACGUAUAUCACCACUUCAAAAUUAAAAUGCUUUAAAAUACAAAGCACUGGUGGCAUUAGAAGCACAAUUAAAAUUCUGGCAGAUUUAGAAAACUUCAAGUUUACACCAUAAAUGGGCAUCAAUACAGAGCCCGUUGGUAACUGACUGCCAACGUGCACAGCAGAUGGAGGCUGGCAGAGGAACCUGGCCCCAUUUCCAUUCUUUGCUAGUUAGGAGUGGCAAUCCUAGAGAAGUGACCCCAACUACCCACGAACCCCUGCAUGUGAGUACUGACUAUGAGCUAACCUGCUGUAUCAGGAAGCACACAGCCCUGGACCUGCCUUCUAGUUCUAUUUCUUUGUUCAAUAAAAGUAAGCACUAAAGAUACUUUACAUGGAACCGCAGGGUGCUGUGCGCUGAAGAUGUGUCUCCACGGCAUUUCAAGCCUGGAAAGGAGCUCACACUUCAGCACGGAUACUAGGCAGGUAGUGGGCCAAGUGAAAAUCUAACAAAGCCCUAAGAGCUAUGCUCCUGACUACCCACAGCCAGAGGCUUCCUUGGCCACCCUGAUUCUUUCAGCUCUGGGGAGGGAAUCACAUUGGGUUCCACCCAAGCCUUAGGCUCCUUGAAGGCCUUCCUGGGACCUCAUCUGGGCGAGCACACGCAUUCCCUCAAUGGCCCUUGCCAGAUCCAUGACAAGUCCACAGCAAAAUCAAUUUAGACUCAAGACUUUCCACUAGAGCACAGCAUCUUCGAGGUCCUCCUUAUGGUCCUUAGCUGGGUUGCUGCUGUUCAGUCUCCUCAGUCUCCAAGUGCUGGAUCGAUCAUAAGAAGCUGUGUGGACGCUGCAUACCAGCCACGGCAAGUCUUCUAUGCACAGGUCUAAGUCUUCUAUGCACAGGUCUAAGGACCUUCUGCUCCGCACUCAGGUUUCUGCAAUGUCUUGUGGGCAAAGAGGGCAGUCUUCAUGGAAAGCAAAAAUAGGGCUCCCCCAAGCCUUGCCUUUGGAGUGAGCCAGCUUUCCAGGAGCAGCCCACACACAGGCUACUGUAUUCAGUAUGCUUGUGCACAGUGCAUACGUAUGAGGAUUAGCCCUGUAACCAUUUGGUCCUUUUGCUAGCCUGUUUUCAGACUGGCAGUGAGGAACUUCCUGAGAGCUGCCUUGGUUUACUGGAGACAAGCAUACUACCCUAUUCCAAGCCUGGGACAGUAGGCUGGGAAGUAGCCAUCACAACUAGGUGAUCUAAGACUUCCAAGGAUGGGAACAAAGCAGCCAGUUCCUCAGAGGACCAUUACUGAGACUGCAGAAUAAGGCUGAACUAUUCUUUGAAUAAGGUCACAUUAGAGAGGCUGGCCUCUUAAUUUCUUGAAGGCAGCUGUGUGCUUGCUCUCAUUGACGCAGACUGUUUUCCAUUUGUCCUUGAGGAAGGUGACACUAAGCCAUGCCAGAGGGCAUCAGCACCAAAGGAAAAAAAGAGGGCUGGACAAGAGGAACAGUAAGUGCAAGGUCAAGGGGCAAGAGGCUGGGAGGGAAAAGGGACACAGGGUGCACAGGGCUGACCUGUCAUGCAAAUCCCACACUGCUGACAACGCCCAGGCAAGUGGCACUAAGGUUGUUUUGACAUGUGUCCUACAAGGGACGCAAUCCCAGACCUUGAGACUCACAGGGGCAGAAAGCUGUAGGCCCUCCUAGCUUCUCUUUCAUCUCGCAGUUCAAAUCUGCACAAGACUCCACUGAAGUCUGAUACAUGCACAAAGGCAAUUCAAGCCAUAAUCAGUAUCUAUUUCAAUGAUUCUCUUCAACAGAGACUCAGUCCAGCACCUGGGGAAGGCAUGGAGAGCCACUCAUCCGCAGUCUGCAUUCUGUGGCAAAAUUUAUCAGUGGUACUUGGUAGCUCCUCUCCUUCCAAUCUACCCAGGAUGAUAGACAGCACCUGCAUUCACUUCUCUGGUGAAGGCAGACUCCUCUCUGGCCGUCACCUUUUAUACACAUCUAAGUCCUUCUGUGGACAAAGUCCUGACCCUGGGCAUAGGAGUGAGCAAAUCUAUAAGGUCCCAACAGAGAGGCAGCGUGUCACAGAUAGACCUUCUGUUCAGCAGACACAGGCCAACAUGACUGCAUUACACUGUGACCAAGCAGGUCUGGCUACCUCUGCUAAGGUGAGGUUCCAAAGUUCCAAGCUUCUGCCUAAGAACCUCUGUAUUACAUGGACCUUCCCCUCACAGACGCCCUUCCCCUCACCACACACUGAGCCAGGACAGAGAAGUAAACCCCAGCCCUCUGCUAGAGUUGCUAUGAAGCAUAAUACACCCUGAGACCUCAAACCUCAAUCUCUUCAUUUUGAAGCAGAUGAUCUAACAAGAACCCUUGUGCAGAGCCUACAGUCUGUCAACCCACCCUGACUAGCACACUUCAUGCUCAUGACAUGCUGGUGUGGCCUGGGGGAAAAGCUAAGGACACCGGUGCUGCCUCUAAGGGCUUCCUGACCUCACUCAUAGGAAACAUGUCCAUGGAAACAGACUAGAGUGGCCAAUGCAACAACAGAGCAUACUAAAGACCUUGCCCCAUGUACUGUGCUACUCUGAAGGGAAAGUCAGGACAAUCCAAACAAACCACGAAGAGAGGCUCCUUCAGAGACAACAGGGCACACACAUUAACUUCUCUGGAGCCCUGAGGGCUGCCUUUCUAUUGAUAGCCUAUACCCAAGUUGCCAAUCCUUCUCUGAGCCAUGCUUGGUCUACAUGCACACAAGCUCAUGGGCUGUUUGGCUGGGCAUUUGACAGUGAUGAGAACCCAAAGCAACAGCCUUUUCUUCCCUAAUAGCUACUCUCAGGGUUAUUAAGAGGGAGAACAAAUGUGUUUAUCUAAGCAAUCAUUCUUUGCCACCAGCAGCCUGUCCCUGGGCACUAUACAGGCCAGGCACAGCGUUCUGCUCUCUGAGAAGCUGCUGACCUCACACUCCCUUGUCACAGCCCUGGCACUACACUUGACUCACCUACUUCUGCUGUGCAUUAGCUUUUGCAGUCAGAACCUAAGUUGGCCCUGAAGCCUGGCCCUCCCUUCUUCCACCAAUGGGACUCUCAGAGCUCCAGGAAGCUGCCUGGAGAUAGGGCAUAAGGAGUCAUCAGCACUCGACAACUCUAAGCUAUGGUGUGUUCAGGGUAAAUAAAGAGACACCCUCAAGACUGUGCCACCAGAGCUUACAGCUCAGGUACGAGAUAUAACUGAAUAGCAAUGUUAAUCUGUCCUCAGGUGAGGAAUAGGUGACAUGAGCAGUUGGGCUUCCCUAGGUAGGCAGGACAUUACAGAGCUGAAGCAGGCAGCCAGGAGUAGCCUAUUCUCAUGCCCUCUUCCCUACCAGCAUGACCGCCCACCUGCUGAAGGUACAAGAAGGGCCAUGGUGCUCAUACCAGCUCGUGGCUCUGGGGCUUGCCCUGCAGUUUCUGGUGGUAGUCAAAAGUGAGUCUGUCCAGGACUGCCUGUUCCUCCUCAUCCACAGUGGCCAUGGAGCGCUCCUUGUUGAUCUUGUCGAUGUCGAUGGGUUCUUCUCCCUCCAGGAUGGCACUCCACCAGUACUCGCCAACUUUGCUCAGAUUCACC